CGAGUCUGCCUUGAAGAUCGGAGUGCUUGCACUCUGUGAAACAAGAUACAGGCUAGCGGCGGACGGGUGAGUAACACGUGGGUAACCUGCCCAAGAGAUCGGGAUAACACCUGGAAACAGAUGCUAAUACCGGAUAACAACAGAUGAUGCCUAUCAACUGUUUAAAGGAUGGUUCUGCUAUCACUCUUGGAUGGACCUGCGGUGCAUUAGCUAGUUGGUAGGGUAACGGCCUACCAAGGCGAUGAUGCAUAGCCGAGUUGAGAGACUGAUCGGCCACAUUGGGACUGAGACACGGCCCAAACUCCUACGGGAGGCAGCAGUAGGGAAUCUUCCACAAUGGACGCAAGUCUGAUGGAGCAACGCCGCGUGAGUGAAGAAGGGUUUCGGCUCGUAAAGCUCUGUUGUUGGUGAA
Molecule: ribosomal RNA, 412 nt
Filed under: uncultured Lactobacillus sp.
Lineage: Bacteria; Bacillati; Bacillota; Bacilli; Lactobacillales; Lactobacillaceae
Description: bacterial SSU rRNA
Rfam family: Bacterial small subunit ribosomal RNA
Source: RNAcentral